CACACACACACACACACACACUGAGGGGAGGGAUCUCUCUCUCUCUCUCUCUCUCUCUCUCUUCUGAAGCUCAUAUCGAGUCGUUCACGGACAGCUGGAUUUUAGCGGAAUAAAAAUGAAACAUUGUAACAUCGUCAGACUGAAGAAUAUCGAAUCAUGUUCAUUUAAAGCGGGAAUUAUUCGACAGCUCGAUGAAGGACAAACUCACGGACCGACUGGAGUUUCCGCAUAAUAACGAUAAUAAAGGAUCAUGUGCAUUCCAUAGUAGCUUCUAUGGUGACUGACAUCACAGUCCCUUUCAGGGGCUCCGGUCAGCUGUUUCUGGCAUCCCAGACCAAGUCCUUUCUGUUUGAAUGGGGGAAUCCUGAAAUCUCAUAAACUCCUUGACAAACUCACAAUUAAAUAACAUAUUUCAAAUCAGCAACAAAAUCUGACAUGAAUUGUCCCAUAAAUGCUUCUGCAGUGACGCAAUGACUUUAUCAAUCAGCGAUUGGCUCUUUUACUCAGAAGGCGGGACGUAUUCCGCCAUGUUCUCCUCGUAACAAACACUGGAGACGGAUGGUGUGUGACGUCAUAACAAGUGUUUCGUAAAGUGGCUAAAUGUUUGAAAAUGGAUGCAUGCGAAUAUGCCCAUUUCAUUCAUGUACUCUGUUUUGCAAUUAAAAAUAAAGAAGUUAAUUAAAACA
This is a long non-coding RNA of Megalobrama amblycephala (Wuchang bream), 686 nucleotides long. RefSeq lists it as uncharacterized. The transcript has 2 exons. Lineage: Eukaryota; Metazoa; Chordata; Actinopteri; Cypriniformes; Xenocyprididae. The record is from RefSeq and is a predicted model, not a curated record.